GAUGAAGAACGCAGCGAAAUGCGAUAAGUAAUGUGAAUUGCAGAAUUCAGUGAAUCAUCGAAUCUUUGAACGCACAUUGCGCCCGCCAGUAUUCUGGCGGGCAUGCCUGUUCGAGCGUCAUUACAACCCUCAGGCCCCCGGGCCUGGCGUUGGGGAUCGGCAGAAGCCCCCUGUGGGCACACGCCGUCCCUCAAAUACAGUGGCGGUCCCGCCGCAGCUUCCAUUGCGUAGUAGCUAACACCUCGCAACUGGAGAGCGGCGCGGCCAUGCCGUAAAACACCCAACUUCUGAAUGUUGACCUCGAAUCAGGUAGGAAUACCCGCUGAACUUAAGCAAAUCAAUAAGCGGAGGA
RNAcentral lists this unclassified non-coding RNA (352 nucleotides) under soil metagenome. RNAcentral's name for it is "partial contains 5.8S ribosomal RNA, internal transcribed spacer 2, and large subunit ribosomal RNA". The stretch from base 1 to 120 matches the Rfam family "5.8S ribosomal RNA", at positions 35 to 154 of the family's 154-position model. The record is from RNAcentral.